Gopherus evgoodei (Goodes thornscrub tortoise) is the source of this 539-nucleotide long non-coding RNA. RefSeq lists it as uncharacterized. The record is from RefSeq and is a predicted model, not a curated record. The transcript is spliced from 2 exons. Lineage: Eukaryota; Metazoa; Chordata; Testudines; Testudinidae.
AUAGGAGGGGUUCAGCUGCUGGAGGUGCGCAUGCUCCAUGCCAUCCACGGUGGGGGCGGGAGGACAAAGCUGAUGUUUCUGCUGCUGCCUCCGUGUGAACCAAACCCCAGUUCUUCUCCUGAGCUGCAAGUAGCCACCCCCAGGAUGCCAAGAGCCAGGCACAGAUUCUACCUCCCAGCAGCCAACCGCACCUCCCCAGGCUUUGCAGAAUGAAUGGUGGCACUCUACUAACCCCACUUAGCCUCACUGAGGCACUUAGCUUCUGCCCUGCCUUCCUCAGUUUGACUUUCCUCUUUUACCCUAUUCCUGCCUCAAUUCCUCCUUUGGCAAGUCACGCAAAGGAGGCCAGGAGGAAAAGUAGGCCAACCUCCCAGGACAGAGGAGACCAAACCACAAGGGUUCAAAAGGUGACUGGCCUAAUUCAUCUAGCUUCCCCAGGCUGACACCAGGGCCAUCUCUAAUGUUUUUGCUGCCCCAAGCAAAAAAAAGAGCACCACUCAGCCGUAACACUCCCCUGCAAGCGCUGCAGAACCUCCCCC